Molecule: non-coding RNA, 77 nt
Organism: Podarcis lilfordi (Lilford's wall lizard)
Lineage: Eukaryota; Metazoa; Chordata; Lepidosauria; Squamata; Lacertidae
Source: the annotation of a GenBank genome assembly
AGGGUUAUAGCUCAGUGGCAGAACAGCUUUUUUUUUUUGCAUGCAGAAAGUCCCAGGUUCAAAUCCUGAUGACUCCA